Molecule: ribosomal RNA, 1435 nt
Filed under: uncultured marine bacterium
Lineage: Bacteria
Description: bacterial SSU rRNA
Rfam family: Bacterial small subunit ribosomal RNA
Source: RNAcentral
GAGUUUGAUCAUGGCUCAGAACGUACGCUGGCGGCACGCCUAACACAUGCAAGUCGAACGAAGUAGCAAUACUUAGUGGCAGACGGGUGAGUAACAUGUAGGUAUCUGCCCUUUGGCCUGGAAUAACACGAGGAAACUUGUGCUAAUACCGGAUAAGUCUUUACGGAGAAAGCUUUAUGCACCAUUGGAUGAGCCUGCACUUGAUUAGUUCGUUGGUGGGGUAAUGGCCUACCAAGACUGUGAUCAAUAGCUGAUUUGAGAGGAUGAUCAGCCACAUUGGGACUGAGACACGGCCCAAACUCCUACGGGAGGCAGCAGUGGGGAAUCUUGCACAAUGGAGGAAACUCUGAUGCAGCGAUGCCGCGUGAGUGAAGAAGGCCCUUGGGUUGUAAAGCUCUUUCGUCGGGGAAGAAAAUGACUGUACCCGAAUAAGAAGGUCCGGCUAACUUCGUGCCAGCAGCCGCGGUAAUACGAAGGGACCUAGCGUAGUUCGGAAUUACUGGGCUUAAAGAGUUCGUAGGUGGUUGAAAAAGUUAGUGGUGAAAUCCCAGAGCUUAACUCUGGAACUGCCAUUAAAACUUUUCAGCUAGAGUAUGAUAGAGGAAAGCAGAAUUUCUAGUGUAGAGGUGAAAUUCGUAGAUAUUAGAAAGAAUACCAAUUGCGAAGGCAGCUUUCUGGAUCAUUACUGACACUGAGGAACGAAAGCAUGGGUAGCGAAGAGGAUUAGAUACCCUCGUAGUCCAUGCCGUAAACGAUGUGUGUUAGACGUUGGAAAUUUAUUUUCAGUGUCGCAGGGAAACCGAUAAACACACCGCCUGGGGAGUACGACCGCAAGGUUAAAACUCAAAUGAAUUGACGGGGACCCGCACAAGUAGUGGAGCAUGUGGUUUAAUUCGAAGAUACGCGCAGAACCUUACCAACACUUGACAUGUUCGUCGCGACUCUAAGAGAUUAGAGUUUUCGGUUCGGCCGGACGAAACACAGGUGCUGCAUGGCUGUCGUCAGCUCGUGUCGUGAGAUGUUGGGUUAAGUCCCGCAACGAGCGCAACCCUCACUUUUAGUUGCCAUCAUUAAGUUGGGCACUCUGAAAGAACUGCCAGUGAUAAGCUGGAGGAAGGUGGGGAUGACGUCAAGUCCUCAUGGCCCUUACGUGUUGGGCUACACACGUGCUACAAUGGUAUCUACAACAGGAAGCAAGACUGCGAAGUUAAGCAAAUCCCUAAAAGAUACCUCAGUUCGGAUUGCACUCUGCAACUCGAGUGCAUGAAGCUGGAAUUACUAGUAAUCGUGGAUCAGCGUGCCACGGUGAAUGCGUUCCCGGGUCUUGUACACACCGCCCGUCACACCAUGGGAGUUGGUUCUACCUUAAGGCAAGGUUUCAAACCCUUGACCACGGUAUAGUCAGCGACUGGGGUGAAGUCGUAACAAGGUAACC